GGCUGAAAUUCGCCUUCAUGAAGCCGGAAUUGCUAGUAAUGGCAGGUCAGCAUACUGCCGUGAAUACGUUCCCGGGCCUUGUACACACCGCCCGUCACACCAUGAGAGUUGGGAAUACCCGAAGCCUGUGAGCUAACAUUACGAGGCAGCAGUCGAAGGUAGAAUCAAUGAUUGGGGUGAAGUCGUAACAAGGUAUC
Molecule: ribosomal RNA, 197 nt
Filed under: uncultured bacterium
Lineage: Bacteria
Description: partial 16S ribosomal RNA
Rfam family: Bacterial small subunit ribosomal RNA
Source: RNAcentral